RNAcentral lists this long non-coding RNA (355 nucleotides) under Physcomitrium patens. RNAcentral describes it as "long non-coding RNA (PPAT_LNC010252)". Lineage: Eukaryota; Viridiplantae; Streptophyta; Bryopsida; Funariales; Funariaceae. The record is from RNAcentral.
UUGUUGAUGAAAAAAUUUGACUUUCUAUGAUACAUUUGUAAGAUUUUUUAUUAGCUUCAAUGUGCAUUUACUAAUAUUAUAUCCACAUUAAUAAAUAAGAUAUUUCAACUUAAAUUAGCACAAUCUUAAAUCUAAGACUUCUUCUACUUCAAAUUCUUGAUUAUAAUGCACUUCUAUAAGAGACACUAGUAUUUGUCUUCUUCUUAGGAUAUUCAUUGUCUUAUAUGGCUUUAAAAGAGAUAUGUGAAAUAUAAGAUACAACCUCAUAGACUUUGAUAGAUGUAAUUAGUAAUAAUUGGAUUUAUUUGUUUACAUAUAAAAAAUAGUCUAAGUCUAGAAUAAUUAUAUAAUUAUU